GUGGGUAUAGCUCAGUGGCAUAGAAUAUGCUUAGCAUGCAUGAGGUCCUGGGUUCAAUCCCCAGUACCUCCA
This 72-nucleotide transfer RNA is filed under the name Camelus bactrianus (Bactrian camel). It matches the Rfam family "tRNA". Rfam says of the family: Transfer RNA (tRNA) molecules are approximately 80 nucleotides in length. Their secondary structure includes four short double-helical elements and three loops (D, anti-codon, and T loops). Lineage: Eukaryota; Metazoa; Chordata; Mammalia; Artiodactyla; Camelidae. The record is from Rfam by way of RNAcentral. RNAcentral also lists the same sequence under 2 other names.